This 497-nucleotide ribosomal RNA is filed under the name uncultured bacterium. RNAcentral's name for it is "partial 16S ribosomal RNA". It matches the Rfam family "Bacterial small subunit ribosomal RNA", at positions 28 to 507 of the family's 1533-position model. The record is from RNAcentral.
GAUGAACGCUGGCGGCGUGCCUAAUGCAUGCAAGUCGAGCGAACAGACGAGGAGCUUGCUCCUCUGACGUUAGCGGCGGACGGGUGAGUAACACGUGGAUAACCUACCUAUAAGACUGGGAUAACUUCGGGAAACCGGAGCUAAUACCGUAUAAUAUAUUGAACCGCAUGGUUCAAUAGUGAAAUACGGUUUUGCUGUCACUUAUAGAUGGAUCCGCGCCGCAUUAGCUAGUUGGGAAGGUAACGGCUUACUAAGGCAACGAUGCGUAGCCGAACUGAGAGGGGGAUAGGCCACACUGGAGCUGAGACACGGUCCAGACGACUAAGGGAGGCAGCAGUAGGGAAUCUUCCGCAAUGGGCGAAAGCAUGACGGAGCAACGCCGCGUGAGUGAUGAAGGUCUUCGGAUCGUAAAACUCUGUUAUUAGGGAAGAACAAAUGUGUAAGUAACUAUGCACGUCUUGACGGUAACUAAUCAGAAAGCAACGGCUAACUACGUG